AAUGCUAUCAAAUUUUACUUCUUACUAAAUCAAGAGAUUAAGUUCAAUUCUAAAAAUUGACAUAUUCCACUUAUACUUUUUCUAUCAAUUUUACAUUCAUCAUGAUCAACAUCAGAAUAACCAAUCAAAUUAAUUGAAGUGUGCUUAGAAUACCAUAAAUCUAAAUUUUGAAUAUCCAUCGAAUAUUUUAGAAUUUUUUUAACAGCAAGCACAUGAGAUUUUUUAGGAUUAG
This 232-nucleotide long non-coding RNA is filed under the name Elaeis guineensis (African oil palm). RNAcentral describes it as "long non-coding RNA (EGUI_LNC002203)". Lineage: Eukaryota; Viridiplantae; Streptophyta; Magnoliopsida; Arecales; Arecaceae. The record is from RNAcentral.